UAGGGAAUCUUCCACAAUGGACGCAAGUCUGAUGGAGCAACGCCGCGUGAGUGAAGAAGGUCUUCGGAUCGUAAACUCUGUUGUUAGAGAAGAACACGAGUGAGAGUAACUGUUCAUUCGAUGACGGUAUCUAACCAGCAAGUCACGGCUAACUACGUGCCAC
RNAcentral lists this ribosomal RNA (163 nucleotides) under uncultured bacterium. RNAcentral describes it as "partial 16S rRNA". It matches the Rfam family "Bacterial small subunit ribosomal RNA", at positions 355 to 511 of the family's 1533-position model. The record is from RNAcentral.